UACGGAGGAUCCAAGCGUUAUCCGGAUUUAUUGGGUUUAAAGGGUGCGUAGGCGGUUUGAUAAGUUAGAGGUGAAAUACCGGUGCUCAACACCGGAACUGCCUCUAAUACUGUUGGACUAGAGAAUAGUUGCGGUAGGCGGAAUGUAUGGUGUAGCGGUGAAAUGCUUAGAGAUCAUACAGAACACCGAUUGCGAAGGCAGCAUACCGGCGCCCAACUGACGCUGAAGCACGAAAGCGUGGGUAUCGAACAGG
RNAcentral lists this ribosomal RNA (253 nucleotides) under uncultured Rikenellaceae bacterium. RNAcentral's name for it is "partial 16S ribosomal RNA". It matches the Rfam family "Bacterial small subunit ribosomal RNA", at positions 524 to 776 of the family's 1533-position model. The record is from RNAcentral. Lineage: Bacteria; Pseudomonadati; Bacteroidota; Bacteroidia; Bacteroidales; Rikenellaceae.